RNAcentral lists this ribosomal RNA (464 nucleotides) under Vreelandella stevensii. RNAcentral's name for it is "partial 16S ribosomal RNA". It matches the Rfam family "Bacterial small subunit ribosomal RNA", at positions 338 to 795 of the family's 1533-position model. The record is from RNAcentral. Lineage: Bacteria; Pseudomonadati; Pseudomonadota; Gammaproteobacteria; Oceanospirillales; Halomonadaceae.
CCUACGGGGGCUGCAGUGGGGAAUAUUGGACAAUGGGCGAAAGCCUGAUCCAGCCAUGCCGCGUGUGUGAAGAAGGCCUUCGGGUUGUAAAGCACUUUCAGUGGGGAAGAAAGCCUUGGGGCUAAUACCCUCGAGGAAGGACAUCACCCACAGAAGAAGCACCGGCUAACUCCGUGCCAGCAGCCGCGGUAAUACGGAGGGUGCGAGCGUUAAUCGGAAUUACUGGGCGUAAAGCGCGCGUAGGCGGUCUGAUAAGCCGGUUGUGAAAGCCCCGGGCUCAACCUGGGAACGGCAUCCGGAACGGUCAGGCUAGAGUGCAGGAGAGGAAGAGAGAAUUCCCGGUGUAGCGGUGAAAUGCGUAGAGAUCGGGAGGAAUACCAGUGGCGAAGGCGGCAUUCUGGACUGACACUGACGCUGAGGUGCGAAAGCGUGGGUAGCAAACAGGAUUAGAUACCCCGGUAGUC